This 253-nucleotide ribosomal RNA is filed under the name uncultured bacterium. RNAcentral's name for it is "partial 16S ribosomal RNA". It matches the Rfam family "Bacterial small subunit ribosomal RNA", at positions 524 to 776 of the family's 1533-position model. The record is from RNAcentral.
GACGAACCGUGCGAACGUUGUUCGGAAUCACUGGGCUUAAAGGGCGCGUAGGCGGAUUGCCGCGUCCGGGGUGAAAUCCUCCGGCUCAACCGGAGAAGGGCCUCGGAUACGGGCGGUCUCGAGGGAGGUAGGGGCAUCGGGAACUGUGAGUGGAGCGGUGAAAUGCGUUGAUAUUCGCAAGAACACCAGUGGCGAAGGCGGCUUUCUGGACGACAACUGACGCUGAGACGCGAAAGCGUGGGGAGCAAACAGG